GCAGUUGUGGCCGAGUGGUUAAGGCGAUGAACUAGAGAUCCAUUGGGGUCUCCCCGCACAGGUUCAAAUCCUGUCGACUGCG
RNAcentral lists this transfer RNA (82 nucleotides) under Ixodes scapularis (black-legged tick). It matches the Rfam family "tRNA". From Rfam's summary of the family: Transfer RNA (tRNA) molecules are approximately 80 nucleotides in length. Their secondary structure includes four short double-helical elements and three loops (D, anti-codon, and T loops). The record is from Rfam by way of RNAcentral. Lineage: Eukaryota; Metazoa; Arthropoda; Arachnida; Ixodida; Ixodidae.